This 465-nucleotide ribosomal RNA is filed under the name uncultured bacterium. RNAcentral's name for it is "partial 16S ribosomal RNA". It matches the Rfam family "Bacterial small subunit ribosomal RNA", at positions 339 to 795 of the family's 1533-position model. The record is from RNAcentral.
CUACGGGACGCACCAGUGAGGAAUUUUGCGCAAUGGGGGGAACCCUGACGCAGCAACGCCGCGUGAGUGAAGAAGGCCUUUGGGUCGUAAAGCUCUGUCAACUGGGAAGAAAUUAGAGUUGUUUAACAGAUGAUUCUAUUGACGGUACCAGUGGAGGAAGCGCCGGCUAACUCCGUGCCAGCAGCCGCGGUAACACGGGGGGCGCAAGCGUUAUUCGGAAUUAUUGGGCGUAAAGGGCGCGCAGGCGGUCUUGUCGGUCAGGUGUGAAAGCCCGGGGCUCAACCCUGGAAGUGCACUUGAAACAGCAAGACUUGAGUACGGGAGAGGAAAGCGGAAUUCCUGGUGUAGAGGUGAAAUUCGUAGAUAUCAGGAGGAACACCGAUGGCGAAGGCAGCUUUCUGGACCGAUACUGACGCUGAGGCGCGAAGGCGUGGGUAGCGAACGGGAUUAGAUACCCGCGUAGUC